Molecule: long non-coding RNA, 2107 nt
Filed under: Sus scrofa (pig)
Lineage: Eukaryota; Metazoa; Chordata; Mammalia; Artiodactyla; Suidae
Description: lncRNA (ENSSSCG00055016014.1)
Source: RNAcentral
ACUCAUUAGAGUCGAGUUACUUACUUGUAUUAGUUUCAGGUGAAUCAGCAAAGUGAAUCGGUCGUGCAUAUAAAUAGAUCCAUUCUUUUGUCCCAUAGAGGUUAUUACAAACUAUUGAGUAGCGUUCCCUGUGUUCUGCAGUAGGGUCUUGUAUUUUAUACAAUUGUGUGUCUAUUUUAUCCCCACCGACCCAAUUCCUCCCUUCCUCCAACGUUUUCUGCUAUGGUCACCAUAAGAUUGGUCUUGAAAUCUAUGUGUCUGUUUUUUUUAAUUUUUAUUUUAUUUUUUUGUCUUUUUGCCUUUUCUAGGGCUGCACCCCCGGCAUAUGGAGGUUCCCAGAAAAGGCAAAAAGACAAAAAAAAAAANAAAAAAAAAAAAAAAAAGAACAAAUUAAUGCCAUUUGCAGCAAAUGGAUGGAACUAGAGAUUCUCAUACUAAGUGAAGUCAGAAAGACAAAGACAGAUACCAUAGGAUAUCACUUAGACGUAGAAUAUAAAAUGUGGCACAAAUGAACCUACCUACAGAACAGAAACAGACUCACAGACCUAGAGAACAGACUUGUCAUUACCAAGGGGGAGGCGGGGAGUGGGAUGGACGGAGAGUUUGGGCUUGGUAAAUGCAAACGAUUCCAUUUAGAAUGGAUCAGCAGUGGGGUCCCACUGUACAGCACAGGGAACUAUGUCCGAUCUGUUGGGAUAGAACAUGAUGGAAGAUAAUAUGAGAAAAAGAAUGUAUGUAUAUAUGACUGGCUCACCAUGCUGUAUAGCAGAAAUUGUCAGAACAUUGUAAAUCAACUGUACUUCGAUUUUUAAAAAUGCACAAAAAUCACGUUUAGCCUCAAGCAAUUUUGUUGCUGCUCGUUCUACGGCUGCUUGCUUCCAGAAUUUCCAGCAACAAAUGCUUUCACUUUAAUCAACGUCCACACACACAUCACACUUUUCAAAUGACUGUGCGGCACCCUCCAGAGAAUUUACUUAUUGAUACGUAUUGCACCUAGUUCCCCAAAAUGAUAAAAUGAAGUAAGUCAGCAUCUGAAACCAUCCCUGGCACCACGGCCACCAGAGCAGGCUGCUUGUCCUCAGCUCCUUUACCUCAUUUCUGAACCCCAAUCAAAGCCUCCACAGGGAAAAGUUUGGCAGCUUGAAGACAGAGCUAAUCCCCUUAUAAAUAGCUGUUCUUCUAAAUUGCCAGAAAAUUGAAUGGAUUAUAACACAAUAGAGCUAUAAAAGUUAGUGCCACCCUAAUAAAUGUCAACCACACGUCUCUUGUGAUUAUUUAAUCUCCUUCAGUCAAUUAUAUAAAUCGUGUAACCUAACUAAUGAAUACAACAGGAAGGAGAUGUAAAAAGAUUCUUCUACAAAUUACAAAGUUUAUGAGCGCCACAGGCUUUCCUUGGAGAUACUGUGGGUUCGAUUCCAGAUCCCCACAAUAAAGCAAGUCACGUGAAUCUCUUGGUUUCCCAGUGCAUAUAAAAGUUAUGUUUAUACUGUACUGUAGUCUAUUAUGAGUGCAAUAACACUGAGUCUAAAAAAGCAAGGUACGUACUUUAAUUAAAAAAUACUAUACUGCUGGAGUUCCUUUCGUGGCACAGUGGAAACAAAUCCGCCUAGUAUCCACGAGGAUGCAGGUUAGAUCCCUGGCCUUGCUCAGUGGGCUAAGGAUCCGGCCUUGCUGUGAGCUGCUCUGUGGGUCGCAGACGCAGCUCAGAUCCCGAAUUGUUCUGGCUGUGGUGUAGGUCACAGACGAGGCUUGCAUCUUGUGUUGCUGCGGCUCUGGUGUAGGCCGGUGGCUACAGCUCCGAUUGGACCCCUAGCCUGGGAACCUCCAUGUGCCUCAGGUAUGGCCCUAAAAAAAAAAAAAAAAAAAAAAAAAAAUUAACAAAAUAAAGUAAAAAAUACUAUAUUGUUUGGAGCUCCCAUUGUGGCGCAGUGUUACCGAAUCCAACUAGGAACCAUGAGGUUGCAGGUUCGAUCCCUGGCCUUGCUCAGUGGGUUAAGGAUCUGGCAUUGCCGUGAGCUGUGGUAUAGGUUGCAGAUGCGGCUCAAAUCCCUCACUGCUAUGGCUCUGGCGUAGGCUGGUGGCUACAGCUCGGAUUUGACCCCUAGCC